RNAcentral lists this long non-coding RNA (476 nucleotides) under Phascolarctos cinereus (koala). RNAcentral's name for it is "lncRNA (ENSPCIG00000035619.1)". The record is from RNAcentral. Lineage: Eukaryota; Metazoa; Chordata; Mammalia; Diprotodontia; Phascolarctidae.
UCGCCGCCUGUAGUCAGCCUCCUAAGCCUGCCUCCUUUGGUCCUCGGCACCUCCUCCUUGGCUCAACUAGGGGCCGCCCCGCACCUCCAGCCCCGGCUGGCCCGCUGGGAGCUGCAGAAAUUCGCUGUCUCCCUCUAUCCCACCUGGGAGAUGAGGAAACUGGGGUCCAUAGAAGUCUAAGGACUUGUCCAAGGUCACAGAGUGACAAAACCAGUACAAGAACUUACUCUCCUGUGUUCUUUCCACCACAUCGACAACCUUUGCUAAGAAGUUGUUACAGUGACCUUCUUCCAUGGAACUCCCGUAUUCCUUCUGGGUAGAGAUUGGAGCAGCUAGGUGGUGCAGUGGACAGAGUGCUGGGCCUGAAGAUGAGUCUUCCUGAGUUCCAAUCCAGCCUCAGCCACUUACUGUGUGAUACUGGUCAAGUCACUUAACCCCAAUUGCCUGAAAAAUAAAUAAAUAAAGGGUAGAGAUCA